GGGGUAUUAAGUUAAUCAGACUGUUUGUUUUCAAAACAAAAAGUAGUUUAGGCUAUACCUUG
This 62-nucleotide transfer RNA is filed under the name Neomazocraes dorosomatis. Its description in RNAcentral is "tRNA-Trp". The record is from RNAcentral. Lineage: Eukaryota; Metazoa; Platyhelminthes; Monogenea; Mazocraeidea; Mazocraeidae.